AGAGGAGAAUGAGAACCCAGGUAGUUCCCUUCAAGAAGGGUGACCUGCUCAGCCCCGAGGAAGCGAGAGGCUCCCUGGGGAAAGGGCUGGACAAGCUCCAGGCACAGGGAGCAGCUGGCGGGGUGAGGCUUCCAGGAGGAUACCAAAUGCUAGAGCCUAUCACAGCUUCACUCAUAAUUGCCCAAACUCUCAAAACCACCUAUGACAGGGGCGUUGACAACUAAGCCAGGCUGUACUCAUGCAGUGAAAUACCACCCAGAGAAAAAACUGCACAGUAUUCCGGAAGGGGACUUGGAAGACAGAGAAAAGACCCAUGGGGUUUGGAUGAAGCGGUGAGAAUAAAAGACACCGAAGCAAAGAAUUUGAAGGCA
This 371-nucleotide long non-coding RNA is filed under the name Mus spicilegus (steppe mouse). Its description in RNAcentral is "lncRNA (ENSMSIG00000018255.1)". The record is from RNAcentral. Lineage: Eukaryota; Metazoa; Chordata; Mammalia; Rodentia; Muridae.